UUUUAUCUUGGUACUUUUGUUACUUUAAAUUGAUUUUCUAUACAAGGGAAGUCCUCCUGGAUUUGACCUCUAUCCGUUUCAUCUCAUUUUUACAUACACACCAGCUGUUAGCAGGUGGUGAAGAAGAUUGGACAAUGGGCCUUAGCUGGAGACCAAAGCAUCACUUUAUCCCCUUCUCUCUGAACUGUGCUGACGUUCCCAGUGGCCGCUGGGGGGAGCCACAUACCCAUGUUCUCUCAGCCUUAAUCUAGUCCUUCUUUAAGGAAGUUGAGAUCAUAUUUACCUUGUGGCCAAUAUGAAAAGUAAAUUGUUUUAAAUGCCUUUGGAAAGAAAGCAGCAAUUCAAACUUACAAAUUUAUGGGUUUUAAUUUGAAUCAAAUAUUGUAUUUGACUUUCUCCCUUCUUUUCUCUAGAGGUUGUGAAAGCUAAUGAAAAAGGGAAUGUAUUUUGAAGGAGAAAUGCAGACUUGCAAAGCACUGCUUUCCUAUCUUCCUUCACUUCUCAGGUUCCUUGGGCCAAAACCUGUCUCAUAUCUCAAGCUGUGAUGAUAAAAGUUGUAUUGAGCAGAAUGUCGUCAACCAAACCAUGAACCUUGGACAAGAGAUUCUGGCUUCUGGCCAAGAGCACAAGGCAGUGCCUUCUUUGUAAUGAAGACUGAGAUAAAGAUCUCUGGGACUAGACCAGCACACCAUUGAUCUGGGGCAUAGCUAACUACUGUGGCAACAACAGCCCUGAAAACAACAUAGUUAUGGAACAUAAGAGUAACCUGGCUUCAGUCAUGUGCAUCCCUGAGUCUCUGCUGUAUGUUCUGCCAUGGAAAAACCAUGGAAAUGCACAUACACUGUAAGAAGAAAGGAGAGAGGAAGAAGAAUGAUUCAGAUGAAAGGUCACCUUCUUCGUGGAGGUCAGCCUUCCUCUAGGCUGACUUCACUGUUUUUCAACUGAUCUUGGACUGGCUGCUGUGAAUGCCUCAGUUACAGGUCUUAGCAUAUUGUUCUAAUAGUUGACUUUCUUGUCUGUUUUUUCAUUAGACUGGAUGCUUUUUACGGGCAAGAAAAUUCCUUGUCCCUCUGUUUCUUAACUCUUAAAUUUGUAAUAGAUGUUUUGGAUUUGAACUCUAGUGUGCCAAACCCACUGUGAUAUAAAGCUGUAUUUUCAUUAGUGAUUUCCAAAUGAUUAUUGAAAAAACAUACUCAGUGCUUAAUACUUUAUAAAAUGUUUAUAAUAUAUACACAUUGCCAAAUUCAGGAAAUACUGAAUACUUUUUAGAAGAAAAUAAACCUUGAUAAUUAUAUAAUCUAAAUAUACUUAAUAUUUCAUUUCCUUUGUGUUUUUUUAUUUAGAAUUUUUAUAAGUUGACAUAUG
This 1365-nucleotide long non-coding RNA is filed under the name Canis lupus familiaris (dog). RNAcentral's name for it is "lncRNA (ENSCAFG00845016140.1)". Lineage: Eukaryota; Metazoa; Chordata; Mammalia; Carnivora; Canidae. The record is from RNAcentral.